RNAcentral lists this ribosomal RNA (635 nucleotides) under Salmonella enterica. Its description in RNAcentral is "partial 23S ribosomal RNA". It matches the Rfam family "Bacterial large subunit ribosomal RNA", at positions 2308 to 2925 of the family's 2925-position model. Lineage: Bacteria; Pseudomonadati; Pseudomonadota; Gammaproteobacteria; Enterobacterales; Enterobacteriaceae. The record is from RNAcentral.
GCACGAAGGUUGGCUAAUCCUGGUCGGACAUCAGGAGGUUAGUGCAAUGGCAUAAGCCAGCUUGACUGCGAGCGUGACGGCGCGAGCAGGUGCGAAAGCAGGUCAUAGUGAUCCGGUGGUUCUGAAUGGAAGGGCCAUCGCUCAACGGAUAAAAGGUACUCCGGGGAUAACAGGCUGAUACCGCCCAAGAGUUCAUAUCGACGGCGGUGUUUGGCACCUCGAUGUCGGCUCAUCACAUCCUGGGGCUGAAGUAGGUCCCAAGGGUAUGGCUGUUCGCCAUUUAAAGUGGUACGCGAGCUGGGUUUAGAACGUCGUGAGACAGUUCGGUCCCUAUCUGCCGUGGGCGCUGGAGAACUGAGGGGGGCUGCUCCUAGUACGAGAGGACCGGAGUGGACGCAUCACUGGUGUUCGGGUUGUCAUGCCAAUGGCACUGCCCGGUAGCUAAAUGCGGAAGAGAUAAGUGCUGAAAGCAUCUAAGCACGAAACUUGCCCCGAGAUGAGUUCUCCCUGAGACUUAGAGUCUCCUGAAGGAACGUUGAAGACGACGACGUUGAUAGGCCGGGUGUGUAAGCGCAGCGAUGCGUUGAGCUAACCGGUACUAAUGAACCGUGAGGCUUAACCUUACAACGUCGAAG